CCUACGGGUGGCAGCAGUGAGGAAUAUUGGUCAAUGGCCGGAAGGCUGAACCAGCCAAGCCGCGUGAAGGACGAAGGUGCCAAGCAUUGUAAACUUCUUUUGUCAAGGGACAAAAUCAGGCUCGAGAGCCUGACCGAGGGUACUUGCAGAAAAAGCAUCGGCUAACUCCGUGCCAGCAGCCGCGGUAAUACGGAGGAUGCGAGCGUUAUCCGGAUUUAUGGGGGUUAAAGGGUGCGUAGGCGGACUGUUAAGUCAGCGGUAAAAGCCCGGGGCUAAACCCCGGCGAGCCGUUGAAACGGGCUGUCUUGAGAUGUCGAGAGGUAUGCGGAAUGCGCAGUGUAGCGGUGAAAUGCUUAGAUAUUGCGCAGAACUCCGAUUGCGAAGGCAACAUACCGGCGGCGAUCUGACGCUGAGGCACGAAAGCGUGGGUAGCGAACAGGAUUAGAUACCCCUGUAGUC
This 459-nucleotide ribosomal RNA is filed under the name uncultured bacterium. RNAcentral's name for it is "partial 16S ribosomal RNA". It matches the Rfam family "Bacterial small subunit ribosomal RNA", at positions 338 to 795 of the family's 1533-position model. The record is from RNAcentral.